AUGCUGAUUCUGCUGCUCCUCCUGGUGCUGGCUUUGGGGGUGGCCUUGGCUGUGCAGUCAGGUAAGGGAGGGGCAGCAGCCUGGGCCCAGCCCCUCGGGGCAGAGCGGGCUCCCUGCUCCCUGCAGAGGGGAAUGCUCAGACCUUCUCCUCUUCCCCCUGCAGCAACACAGGUUCCAAUUACACCUGAGACUCCACAGUGUUUCUGGGCUGUCCCCCUGGCUGGGUUGGGUACAAUGGGGUCUGCUACUACUUCUCAAGGGAUUACAGCACCUGGGAGCAGGCUCAGGAACGUUGCUCCCAGCUCAAUGCCUCCCUGGCCAUUGCCAAGGAUGAGGAGGCCAUGGAUUUGCUCUUCCGCCUCCGCGGGAACGGCGAUUUCUGGCUCAGGCUGCGCAGACGGGGCGAGCGCCUGCAGUGGGAGGACGGCAGCAGCUACAGCUCCCGGGUUCCUGUCCUCGGCAAUUCCCAGUGUGUGUACCUGGCUGACGAAAAUAGAUUGAAGAGUGAGUUCUGCUCCAAUGAGCGGCCGUAUGUCUGCAGCAAGGCCCAAGCUCCCCUGUAACAGGGGCUGCAGAAAGGACCUUCUCCACGCUGGGCAGUGCCAGCUUCACCCCCAGUGCCAAGACUGGGCUGGGGCUGCAAAGGAAAAGUCUCUGCAAUCCAUCCUGCUACCGAUGCUGCCUGGAGUGAGUGCACUGCCCUCAUGACACAACAAGCUCCAACGGGAAAUCCAAACCUGCCUGGCCUCUUGAAAAUCAUCACAAACUGGUCUGAAUGUGACACUUUUGGACUGUCUUUGGAAGAGGAGGAAGAACCGCUGACACGUGCUGAGCAGCAGUCUAUCGGCAUCAGGCACCUGACUGUGGAGAAUAGUCUGUUGUCUGUCUGUCUGCUGUGAAGGAUCUUAACUGUCCUCCUGUGGGAGGAAUCCCAGGCUGGAGCAGGACAAGGAUUUGUCUCUCGGAGGGAGAAGCAGUGACAGGAUGUGACUGUAACCCCCACCCCUCUGUGCCACUGUGUGGGGAGGAGGGAGGGAGGGAACUGGGGAGAAAGUGAAGCCCAGAAAGGAGAAAACAGUGUGGAGAAGAUGCAUUUUUAAGAUUUGGCGUACAUCUCAUUCCCUUGCUCUGAUUUGUUUGAGAAUAAAUUCAAUUAAAUUUAAUUUCCCA
Molecule: long non-coding RNA, 1170 nt
Filed under: Serinus canaria (Common canary)
Lineage: Eukaryota; Metazoa; Chordata; Aves; Passeriformes; Fringillidae
Description: lncRNA (ENSSCAG00000004544.1)
Source: RNAcentral